UGGGAGGAAGUGGAGUCCACAUCCAGUUCCCUGUUCUUUCCAAGCUGAAGAGCAAGGAUCUGCGGAGCAGCUGAGAGGGCAACGCCCGGGGCUAUCGAUACCAAAGCCCGGAGAGGAGGCACCAGACAGGGCAGGGAGCAGGGAGGAUGGCUGAGAUGUACAAAGCCAUGGAGCUGGGCGACCAAGAGAACAUGCUUGGGGCCCAGAGGUCUGCUGGUCCGCUUGGCUACUUGAGAAGACUGGCAGGGUAUCUGACGCGGGGCUCCCUUUCUCUGGUGCUGCUUCUGGCCUCUGUGGGCCUCUUCCUGUUCCU
Long non-coding RNA from Talpa occidentalis (Iberian mole), 313 nucleotides. RefSeq lists it as uncharacterized. The transcript has 3 exons. NCBI's taxonomy places the organism in Eukaryota, Metazoa, Chordata, Mammalia, Eulipotyphla, Talpidae. The record is from RefSeq and is a predicted model, not a curated record.